Molecule: ribosomal RNA, 328 nt
Filed under: uncultured bacterium
Lineage: Bacteria
Description: bacterial SSU rRNA
Rfam family: Bacterial small subunit ribosomal RNA
Source: RNAcentral
AACGAACGCUGGCGGCGUGCCUAAUACAUGCAAGUCGAACGAGAAAGUGGCUUCGGCCAUGAGUAAAGUGGCAGACGGGUGAGUAAUACGUAGGUAAUCUACCUCCAAGAUGGGGAUAACCUUCCGAAAGGAGGGCUAGUACCGAAUGAGACCACAGCUACUACGGUAGCAGAGGUUAAAGGUGGCCUCUUCUUGAAAGCUAUCACUUGGAGAUGAGCUUACGCACCANCAGCUAGUUGGUAAGGUAACGGCUUACCAAGGCUUUGACGGUUAGCUGAUCUGAGAGGUUGAUCAGCCACACUGGAACUGAGACACGGUCCAGACUCCU